GUCUCUGUGGUGCAAUGCGUGAGCAGGUUCGGCUGUUAACUGAAACGCUGGUGGUUCAAACCCACCCAGGCAUG
This 74-nucleotide transfer RNA is filed under the name Chlamydotis macqueenii (Macqueen's bustard). Its description in RNAcentral is "Chlamydotis undulata macqueenii tRNA". It matches the Rfam family "tRNA". Rfam says of the family: Transfer RNA (tRNA) molecules are approximately 80 nucleotides in length. Their secondary structure includes four short double-helical elements and three loops (D, anti-codon, and T loops). Lineage: Eukaryota; Metazoa; Chordata; Aves; Otidiformes; Otididae. The record is from Rfam by way of RNAcentral.